GCCACUCGCGUCCGAGGAAGACACAGAAGACAGGGAUCCAGCGGGGCAGCGCCGCGGGUCUUUCCCGGGGAUGAACCUGUGAGAGUGGGAGAUCUCCGGAGAACAUCUACGCUGUGUGCCGAUGCACCUUACGAAAGAAUAAGACCAGCAAGCAAGGCAACUGCAAUGAAGCAUCAAGAAAGACAUGAGCAGGCCAGCCAACCUGAGACUGAUAAUUCAUGAGAAGACAUUUCUAUCAAAGUGGAUGGUGAGCAAAGAUGGUGGCCACGUUUUGGAGCAGCACCUGGGUUUUGCAGAUGGCUAUGUAUUCUUUGGCUGCUUGUCUUUUUCCCCAUUAUGUUUCUGUUGCCUAAAGAUUCUUUGUGAGGAUGAAUCCAGAGGACACAACAUAAUGCACUGCAAAACGUCCUAAGACAGGAGAAAUGGUGAAGAUGCACUGUUCCAGCAUUGGAAGUCUGUAUUUUUAAGUGUUAUACAUGCAAUGUUUU
Molecule: long non-coding RNA, 488 nt
Organism: Onychostoma macrolepis
Lineage: Eukaryota; Metazoa; Chordata; Actinopteri; Cypriniformes; Cyprinidae
Exons: 3
Source: RefSeq, a predicted model, not a curated record